CGAAUUAACCAUACGGUGCGUUUCGUUUUUUUAUGCAUCUCCUCCCCGUGUUUUCCAAGUCCUCCCCCAUCUGUAGACUGAAACCAUCCCUAACCCUAACCCCUCCCUAACCCGUCGCAGUCCCUCCCCCAUCGGAAAUGAUCCCUAACCCUAACGUUCCUUUUCCAUUCACCCGUAGCUUUCCCUUGUUCCAGGAUCUGCCUUGAUAUCCCCUGUCGCAUUCCGAACCCCACAAGUCACAACACCUGAGUGCCAUUUUGUUCUUCUUCUUGUUCUUCUUCUUUAAUCUCUGAACACGCCCUAAAACCUUCACUGGAAACCCUAGAAAUUAGUGCUUGAAAUGGACAUGCAGAGGCGUGUGGUCAAUUCAACAUUUAUCGAGAAUAUAUUUACUCAAUCCAGAAUCAAAAUCGAGAUGAGUUCUCUUGAAUCCUCUUACCUAUUAGUUCAUAAUGCUUCUUUGAAAUUUUGUCAUAAAUGUUGACUCUUCUGCUGGUUAGACGGUUACCAGUUGGAGAUGGAAUCUGGAUAGCUCGCCAUAAAUAUGUUGAUAGUGAAUAUGUACUUGAUUAUAUUGUUGAAAGGAAGAAUGUUGAUGAUUUACACUGUUCCAUCAGGGAUAAUCGAUAUUGGGACCAAAAACUUAGGCUUUUGGUAUUUCAAAUAACUCAAUGCCUUAUAUUUCUUUCUUGAAGUUUCCCUGCAACUGUUAUUUCUGGUGUUAAAAUUUGCUACACACACAUACAUGAAUGGAUGGUUGCUUUGAGAGUAAAAAAACUCUUGCUCUUGUGGUCUGUUGAGCAUGCUUAAGGAUAGAGCAUUUGAAGUUCUUUCCUAGUAAUUUUAGUAUUAGGAUUUCAGUUUGCAUGUGCAAGAAUUUGCUACUCUGUCUCAUCUUCUGCUUAUGUUUAUCUUUAAUUUAUAUCAUCCUGACUUUUUUGGGUGUUAAGUUGCUUUUUGUAAGAGGUGUGGACUUAAGAGGCUGAAAUAUCUUGUGGAGGAUGACCCAAAUUCUUUCGAAGUUGCCGAAAGCAUCAAAACAACUAAUACAAGAACCAUGGAGAAAUGAUAAAUUUGAUUCACGCCUGUUGCAUCCCAGGAGGGCGACCGAAGUGCACAAGAGGAGAUGCUUAGCAGGCAGAGUAAAGAUGUGAUCAAUUUAGUUGCUAGUAAGAAUAUAUUCAACUUAGUCCGGGGCAAAUGAGUGUUUUAAUCCCCUUGAACUAACAAUGCUUCAUGGGCUCUGAAGCUUGUAUUUCAUGAUGCAAAAGCAAUUUGCUUUAAACUUCAAGGAGAUUUCACAAUUGAGCACUAUAAAUAAGAGAUGAGAGUGUGGAGGAUUUGUUGAAGAGCUUUCUUAUGUUGAGCAGUGCUCUGUUUAAUUAUUAGGACUUGGACGUUAUUUCACAUUCUCUAUUGAAAUGUUCAGAAAAGAUAUGCCAAUCA
Juglans microcarpa x Juglans regia is the source of this 1446-nucleotide RNA transcript. It is a transcript of the gene named crossover junction endonuclease MUS81-like, with no coding region annotated. NCBI's taxonomy places the organism in Eukaryota, Viridiplantae, Streptophyta, Magnoliopsida, Fagales, Juglandaceae. The transcript has 3 exons. The record is from RefSeq and is a predicted model, not a curated record.